Molecule: long non-coding RNA, 813 nt
Filed under: Bemisia tabaci
Lineage: Eukaryota; Metazoa; Arthropoda; Insecta; Hemiptera; Aleyrodidae
Description: lncRNA ENSSSA1UGG010896
Source: RNAcentral
AUGCCCCUGGUUAUUUUGAGGAGCUGGUCACAGUCAAUUGUGAGAUUCUCCAUUUGUCUUAUGUUUUUACUGAAUAUAUCAGCUGAACAUCCCUCCGAGCAGCGCAACACUUCUGAUGUUUUUCUCAAAUCAUUGUCGGAUAUUGUGCAAGAAUUAGAAUUAAGGAGAAGGAUGACCAGCCCAAUCAAAGGUGAUGAAUUGCCUGAAGUAAGAGAGCCCUACUUGUAUGGAGACAAUUUGGCAGCAUGUCAGGAAGAACACUCCCAUUCACACGCUGAUUACAUGGCCGGGUCACUUUCAAUGCUUAACAGAAAUGAUCCAUUCAUCAAAAUUUCCCAGUUUAAGGAAGUCAGGAAAUUUAAAAGACAGCUUAGGAACCAAAGCUCUGGCUCUAGGAAGCAAGUUUCUCGGAAGCCAAAUAGGAUGCAUGCUGAGUUCAAUCUUGGUUCUCAGAAUGUUUCACUCUCAGACAAUAUUUCUCCCAGGAAUUCAUCACCUGAUAAUAAGUUGUCAGUAAAUGGUAACAAAAGCAGAAAGGAUGUUCAGUCUCCUAAUCCACCCUCUCUCAGCAGACUUCAGCAAGGAAAUACAUGAAUUUCAUUAUUUCCCUUGAAAUCAUUCGCCACGGCUUCUAGUCUCAUCAGCAAGAAGGCUGCACACUCUGGACUCAAAACAGAAGUUAAGAGUAAGAUGCAGUUUUUAACACCUCUUAUUCUAUUGAAUAUGUCCUCUUCAACUGAAGCCUACUCCUGGAAUGAAUCGUCAGCAAAUCCAUCAAUGAAAUUGACAGUUGAAACAUCGACAUUCAAAAAG